This 611-nucleotide long non-coding RNA is filed under the name Physcomitrium patens. Its description in RNAcentral is "long non-coding RNA (PPAT_LNC000049)". The record is from RNAcentral. Lineage: Eukaryota; Viridiplantae; Streptophyta; Bryopsida; Funariales; Funariaceae.
CUUGCGUGUUGUUUCGAGGCGGUUGUGUGCUUCGUGUCUGGUUUGAUUUUAUCCUCCAAUUCCUCAAUGGAAGUUUAGGUAACUGUCCCCUUUGAUGAUCCACCCCUUCUUGUCGGUUAGGAUCCGAUCAUCGGAAGGUGAUUCAGGAGAGAAAGCGCAGGUCGCCUGGGAAAAAUUGUUAUGCGUGAUGUCUCGCCAGCUGUUUUGUAUCAAAACAAUUUUUCCACCUUCGAAGAAAUCUUUGUCAAGACGGUGACACUACCCCAUAGCUCAGAUUGAUCACUUGGAUCGUAUGGUUAAUUGUCUUGGUAGAGUGAGAAAUCUUUUUUCAGCGUUAACUUGAUUGCCAGUUUCUUAACCUAAUUUUGCAAAUCACCUUACGCAGGUGGGUCUCCUCCUGACGAGAGCCUUGCCGCAGCCAAUGAAACACGAUUUACGCAAGUCAACGUGACAACACUACAUUCAACCUGAUGAUUCAAACUUAAGAAGGGGAAAGCGUAUGACAGUUUUGGUUAAAUGCAGUCAAGCGUCAAGCACUAAUGGUUGAUACUGUAUGUCCGCAGGUUAUUAAAGUCAUUCUCUAACUCCUGGACUUCGGGCCAGCUGCUCCA